RNAcentral lists this ribosomal RNA (259 nucleotides) under uncultured bacterium. RNAcentral's name for it is "partial 16S ribosomal RNA". It matches the Rfam family "Bacterial small subunit ribosomal RNA", at positions 524 to 776 of the family's 1533-position model. The record is from RNAcentral.
UACGUAGGGUGCAAGCGUUGUCCGGAAUUAUUGGGCGUAAAGAGCUCGUAGGCGGUCUGUCGCGUCUGCUGUGAAAACUCAGGGCUUAACCCUGAGCUUGCAGUGGGUACGGGCAGACUAGAGUGCGGUAGGGGAGACUGGAAUUCCUGGUGUAGCGGUGAAAUGCGCAGAUAUCGAGGAGGAACACCGGUGGCGAAGGCGGGUCUCUGGGCCGUAACUGGACGCUGGAGGAGCGGAAAGCAUCGGGGAGCGAAACAGG